Molecule: ribosomal RNA, 254 nt
Filed under: uncultured bacterium
Lineage: Bacteria
Description: partial 16S ribosomal RNA
Rfam family: Bacterial small subunit ribosomal RNA
Source: RNAcentral
UACGGGGGGGGGCAAGCGUUGUUCGGAAUGACUGGGCGUAAAGGGCUCGUAGGCGGCCAACUAAGUCAGACGUGAAAUCCCUCGGCUCAACCGGGGAACUGCGUGUGAUACUGGCGGGCUUGAAUUCGGGAGAGGGAUGUGGAAUUCCAGGUGUAGCGGUGAAAUGCGUAGAUAUCUGGAGGAACACCGGUGGCGAAGGCGGCAUCCUGGACCGAGAUUGACGCUGAGGCGCGAAAGCUAGGGUAGCAAACGGG